RNAcentral lists this ribosomal RNA (253 nucleotides) under uncultured bacterium. RNAcentral's name for it is "partial 16S ribosomal RNA". It matches the Rfam family "Bacterial small subunit ribosomal RNA", at positions 524 to 776 of the family's 1533-position model. The record is from RNAcentral.
UACGUAGGUGGCAAGCGUUGUCCGGAAUUAUUGGGCGUAAAGAGCGUGUAGGCGGCCUGGCAGGUCCGUUGUGAAAACCCGAGGCUCAACCUCGGGACGUCGAUGGAAACCGUCAGGCUAGAGUCCGGAAGAGGAGAGUGGAAUUCCUGGUGUAGCGGUGAAAUGCGCAGAUAUCAGGAAGAACACCCGUGGCGAAGGCGGCUCUCUGGGACGGUACUGACGCUGAGGCGCGAAAGCGUGGGGAGCAAACGGG